GUGGGGAAUAUUGGACAAUGGGCGAAAGCCUGAUCCAGCCAUGCCGCGUGUGUGAAGAAGGUCUUCGGAUUGUAAAGCACUUUAAGUUGGGAGGAAGGGCAGUAAGUUAAUACCUUGCUGUUUUGACGUUACCGACAGAAUAAGCACCGGCUAACUUCGUGCCAGCAGCCGCGGUAAUACGUAGGGGGCAAGCGUUGUCCGGAAUGAUUGGGCGUAAAGGGCGCGUAGGCGGCCUGGUAAGUCUGGAGUGAAAGUCCUGCUUUUAAGGUGGGAAAUGCUUUGGAUCCUGUCGGGCUUGAGUGCAGGAGAGGUAAGCGGAAUUCCCGGUGUAGCGGUGAAAUGCGUAGAGAUCGGGAGGAACACCAGUGGCGAAGGCGGCUUACUGGACUGUAACUGACGCUGAGGCGCGAAAGUGUGGGGAGCAAACAGGAUUAGAAACCCCGGUAGUCC
This 450-nucleotide ribosomal RNA is filed under the name uncultured bacterium. RNAcentral describes it as "partial 16S ribosomal RNA". It matches the Rfam family "Bacterial small subunit ribosomal RNA", at positions 354 to 796 of the family's 1533-position model. The record is from RNAcentral.